Molecule: ribosomal RNA, 253 nt
Filed under: uncultured bacterium
Lineage: Bacteria
Description: partial 16S ribosomal RNA
Rfam family: Bacterial small subunit ribosomal RNA
Source: RNAcentral
UACGUAGGGUGCAAGCGUUAAUCGGAAUCACUGGGCGUAAAGCGCACGUAGGCGGAUCUUUAAGUCAGGGGUGAAAUCCUGGAGCUCAACUCCAGAACUGCCUUUGAUACUGGGGAUCUCGAGUCCGGAAGAGGUGAGUGGAACUCCGAGUGUAGAGGUGAAAUUCGUAGAUAUUCGGAAGAACACCAGUGGCGAAGGCGGCUCACUGGUCCAUUACUGACGCUGAGGCGCGAAAGCGUGGGGAGCAAACAGG